GUGAUGGACAUUUUAUUCAUUGCAUGGUCAAAUUCAUCAAGAUCAAGAUGCUGCUCAUCAGGACUCCUUGCCAUUCCUUCUUCCAUAAAAUUCUCGUCAUUCAUGGUGACAAAAUCCUCAUUAAUGUCUUCAUCACUGCUAUCUUCAUCAUCACUGCCAUAACUAGUUCUGACAUGCUUCCAGUACACGAAGUUCGGUCGAAUGAAGUUCCUGUCACUUUUUUUCAAUAAACAUGGGUCGAAUGGGAAGAACAUAUCCAGUCUCUCCAGCCCACCAAAAUCCCUGGAAAAAUCUGAUUCCAGCAAAUCUUCGAACAUGAAUGUUUCAGAUGGGGUGAACAAACGAGCAGCUUUUGCCUGUUUAAGAAACUCUUCUACAAUAGAUGGCAGGCACACCUUCAAGGGGCCCAAUUUAUGCUUCAAGAUUCGCUCUAUGGGCAUGAGAAGAAGCUGUGAUUUGAGCCAUGGGACAUCCACUAUUGACCUCAUACAAAAGCAGAGAACAUACAUGAUGGCCUGACAUCCAGAAUAGAAAACUCUAUGCGCUUUUGGGUUUACAUCACCAUCCUGGGUUUUACAAUACUCCAAACACCAAUCCACCAACCUUUUCAACAUGCUAGCGACAAAAGCAGUGGACAGAAACUUCGCACGAGCCAAAUAACUAGCAAGAUAAGC
RNAcentral lists this unclassified non-coding RNA (674 nucleotides) under Hevea brasiliensis (rubber tree). The record is from RNAcentral. Lineage: Eukaryota; Viridiplantae; Streptophyta; Magnoliopsida; Malpighiales; Euphorbiaceae.